GCACAAUCCAUCAACCUAGCAUUGACAUCUUUGAAGCUUUCGAUGAGCUUCUACUGAUGAAAAGAGGAGGGCAAGUGAUAUACUCUGGACCUUUGGGCCGGAAUUCUCAGAAGAUAAUCGAAUACUUUGCAGAGAAAUAAAGCACUUGUUAAGGAGCUAAGCACUCCUGCCCCAGGAGCCGAAGAUAUCUAUUUCCCCACAUAAUAUUCUCAGUCUACUUUCGGGUAGUUCAAAUCAUGCCUUUGGAAGCAAUGGUUGACAUAUUGGAGAAGCCCUGACUAUAACCUCACCCGAUACUUCUUCACCUUAGUUGCUGCCCUCAUGCUUGGCAUGAUCUUUUGGCGGGUUGGCACAAAAAGGGAAAAUGCAAAUGAUCUAACCGUCAUUAUUGGAGCCAUGUACGCAUCCGUUCUAUUUGUUGGCAUCAACAACUGCUCGACCGUGCAACCAAUUGUAGCCAUCAAAAGAUAGUGUUUUACCGAGAAAGAGAAGGUGUCCAGGUGAGAAUGUAUUGGGAGACCUUCAUGAAGGAAGGGAAUUAGAAGCUGGGUAAUGUCCUUUUGGAAGGGAAUUGAGAAAGGAGAUUUUAACAUUCCAUGUCUCAUCCACUCCUGUCGUGUCCACAACCUCAGAAAUCCAGAUUUAAUAUAUUGUCAUGAAGGUUUAAGAGUAAUAAAAAAUUGCAAUGUAGCAAUUUAAAUGCAUUUAACA
Molecule: long non-coding RNA, 711 nt
Organism: Magnolia sinica
Lineage: Eukaryota; Viridiplantae; Streptophyta; Magnoliopsida; Magnoliales; Magnoliaceae
Exons: 4
Source: RefSeq, a predicted model, not a curated record